RNAcentral lists this unclassified non-coding RNA (253 nucleotides) under uncultured Euzebyaceae bacterium. Its description in RNAcentral is "contains 16S-23S intergenic spacer region". It matches the Rfam family "Bacterial small subunit ribosomal RNA", at positions 524 to 776 of the family's 1533-position model. Lineage: Bacteria; Bacillati; Actinomycetota; Nitriliruptoria; Euzebyales; Euzebyaceae. The record is from RNAcentral.
UACGUAGGGUCCGAGCGUUGUCCGGAAUUAUUGGGCGUAAAGGGCUCGUAGGCGGUCCGUCAAGUCGACUGUGAAACCUCAGGGCUCAACCCUGGGCUUGCAGGCGAUACUGGCGGACUUGAGGCAGGUAGGGGAGAGCGGAAUUCCCGGUGUAGCGGUGAAAUGCGCAGAUAUCGGGAGGAACACCAGUAGCGAAGGCGGCUCUCUGGGCCUGUACUGACGCUGAGGAGCGAAAGCGUGGGUAGCAAACAGG